This 22148-nucleotide long non-coding RNA is filed under the name Daucus carota (carrot). RNAcentral describes it as "long non-coding RNA (DCAR_LNC000360)". Lineage: Eukaryota; Viridiplantae; Streptophyta; Magnoliopsida; Apiales; Apiaceae. The record is from RNAcentral.
CACAUUUUUGUACUAUAUGGUUUAGAAUGUUGCAUGCAUGCAGAUAGAAAAAUUUCGGAUGUCUGAUAAACGUAUGUAAUAUUGGCUUAUUGCUUACCAACAAGGGUAACAAGAUCUUGAGCGCUUAGACCAACAUCUGCAAAUUUUUUCUUCUGGACCGCGACUGAGUCUGUGAAACUCGGCAAAUUGGCGGUGUCGGACGCCAAUGACACUCGUCCGUCUCUCCGGCCAGUAGGCACGCGAUAAGUCAGUGCACCGACCUGCAUGUGAAAACAUAAGAACAAUGAGAUGCUGAUAUAACAAUGAUCCUACUUCGAAAUAGCAUAAAUUAUUUGAAUUUUUUGGUUAAAAUCAUAUAUAGCACAUUCGAAACAUUUAUCUUACUUCUACUGUGGCAUCACGAGCAGCAAGAGCAAGAAUAUCAGCACACGACACGACUCCGGGGCAUGCUGCCUCUAGCUGUGUUUUGGCAUCCUCAAUCACUUCAUAUCCUCUCAGCAGAAGAUUUGGCCUAGCGGUUUUCUCAGCAUUGCUGCCAUCGAUAAGAAUCGAAGCAUCGCAACCAUGAACGAAGCAAUCAUGGAAGACCAUUCUGAGCAGUCCGGGGGCAACAGUGGAAUCGGAGUUAACAUGUUUCUUAACGGUGGCUUGAACGAUGGAUUCCGCUCUGGGACAAGAGGUGGAAUAGAAGCCGACCCUAGUCUGAGCUAGAGCUAAGGGUGUGGCGACUAGAAGAACAAAUAGAAUAGAGAGUUUGCUAAGGAAAGAAUCCAUUUGAGUUUGUUAUGUGUUGUUAUAAAUUGAUUGUGUGUUUAGAGGAAACGAAGGUGGUGUAUUUAUAGGGACAUAAAAGUGCUAAAAUGGGCUAAACGUGUGGAGACCAGAGAGAACCAGGGUCAAUGAAAAAUACGUGGCAACGGAUUGGAAAAGUUGUCCACUGGUGAGUUGUAGUCCACUCUCGGGCUGCCCAAGUUGUUUGAUUCGUUGAUUGAUAGAAGAGUCAAAUGAAUGUUCAUACAUGCGGUUGCAUAGUUUAAGUUCAAUUUAUGUCAGAUUUUCUCAGACACGUACUCAGUGGAUUAAUAUUUUGGCAUUUACCUCAUAUAUACAUAAAAGUUUGCUCAGAAACUAAUUCCUUCUUGUAAAUUAUAGAGUAAUAAUUAUUGAUUAGAUAUUCAAAAUUCCAACAAUUAUGGACUUACUCGAAAUUCAUUUUACGGUCUUAAAUCAUCGUACAUGCAGUAUUCUAAAAAUCCCCGAUUUAACCGAUAAAUCCCCUGCAAGGUCGGCCACCGAUUCGAUUUUUUAAAUCCGAUUAAUCCUUAUAUAUAUUCCUUAAUCGAAGUAUAUAUGAUAAAUUAUUAAAAUUAAAAUACUAUAUUACUUUAAGUAUGGUUUAUUAUAGAGUUUAUGAAUAUGGUAAAGAUAUUAGUUACUAAAUAGCUAAUAUAAUAAUAACUAAAUAUUAAAUAAUAUUUUAAUAUAAAAACAAAACCGAUUUUCACUCCGAUUAAUCCUUGCGAUUAAUCUCCGAUUUCCGAUUAAUCCCUGAAUCGGUAGCUCAACCGAUUAAGUCCGAUUCUCGAUUUCUGUAACACUGCAUACAUGUAUAAAUAAUAUCUCUAUCAUUUUUUUUUUAAUUUAUACUCAUUUUAUUCUAUUACAUCCACUCCAACUAAACACAACAUAAUUGUGUGUUUGUGUGUAAGCCUAAUAUUACAACUCUUGAAACAUAAUUUGAAAUUAGUUUUACAAAACUAUAUUUGAAAUGUUGUAAAUCAUUGUGCUUGCGGAAAAUGGUGAAGUGGGAACCGGAAAAGAAGCUUAAAUAAGUGUGAAACGCAUACGCAGGCGAAUACCUUGAUGUUACGUUCUAUCAAGGAAACUAAAGUAAUGGCGAAGCUGUUGCAAACUUAAUUUUGUGUGGAGUAUUAGUACUCCAAAUGGAUAGCGUAAACAUGUUUUCUAUUACAAAGUUGUUAGGGUGUCAAAUACUCCGCUAACACUGACAUGCAUGCAUUCCAUGAUUAAAAAACUAAAAAUUACUAAAAGAGAAGGUGGAAACUAUUGACUCGGGGUUCAGCAAAAGUUUUCAAAAGAGUCAAAGCAAUGCGUGUGGGGUCGCGAAUAACUUACUCUGCAUUAUCAUGAAACUUCCUGCACUAGUAUUUAACUAUUCUUUGUCAAGCCUUCUACUUUACUCCCUCAAUUUGUUUUAUUUAACAUUUUAAUUUUUCACACGUAUUUUCUGGUGAAGUGAUCUGAUAAUAUAAUUAUUUUUAUUAUAUUUUUGCCAAUUAUGAUAUUGAUUAUAUAUUUUUAUUCUGAAAAUUAAAAUUUUGAAUUAUUUUUAGUUAUCUAGUCAGAAUAUUUAAAAAUAUGUAUUAGAAACCAAACGUCGAAUAAAAUAAUAAGAUCGAGCUAUAUGUCUAUCAGGGAGGCAAAAACCGCAUGCUGUAUAUGACUGUUCUCAAAAUCUACGUGCCGUGAUAAUCAAAUAGCGGUUUCGUAAAAGAGUGUGAGAAUAAAUUAAAGAGUUUAAGAAGUAAUUAUUCCAGUUAGUUUUCGAUACCUCUUGUGCAAAAAUACAAAUUUUUGCAUAAAACACAGAACUCCUCAUAUUUAAUUUAGAUGGAAUUAAAACACAAAAUAUAUUGUCUUUAAAUGAUUCUACUGAAUAUAUUUUUAAUCAUCGACAGAUUUUGGGAGGACAAAUUUCAAUCUGAACCCUGCAUCAUUCUUUUGAUCACAAAAGAUAUUAAUCAAAAACUUGUCUUCGUCUUCUCUGUUCAUAAGUCAGCUUUUACGCAACAGCUAUUUCAUUAAAGUUUUCUAAAGAUUAUUCAUGUUCGAUAGAAAAUUAUUGUCAGACAUUUUAAUUCACAAAUUAUAUUUCAAAAAUAUUACUAUUUCAUUUGAAAAUUUUAAAAUGUUAUAUAUAUAUUUCACCUUAAAUAUUUUAUUUGCUGAGUUUUGCAGGACAUCUUAUUCACGAUUACAUAUUUUUCUACUCCAUCACAUGGUUUUUUUGCUUACUUUUUAGUUAAACCAGUCAUUGUGUCCGACAGCAAAACCAACACGGACUAUAGGUAUCGAGGACGAUUUCUCUCUGAUGCUAUAGGUAUAUUAUUUGUGUGUAUGGUAGAAUGUAUAUCUAUUAUUUUUUUUUGUCACUUUAUAUGGCAAUUUUUCUUAGCUGUGAUAAUAGAUGAAAACAUGAGCUGAGUUGCUUUUGAGUUUUGACAUAUAAUGUUCAUGGAGAGUUUCAUGUUAAAUGCCUAAAAAAUGUUUACGGAGUAAGGCUGACAGACUAUAUGCACGUAGUAUGAAAAAGUAAGGGGCGACGGGCGUCAUCAGCUCACCUUCACUACAAUAAAAUCGGGUACUUACGACAGAAAUUCGUAUCUAAAAAACAGCGCCGUCCUUGGAUCCGGCACUUCUCCCUUAUUUUUCAUUUGAAAAAAUAUUUAUAAAAAACUUAUGACAUCGUACUCUAGUAUUAUAAUUAUUUGAUUUUUUCAAUUGAAAAAAUAUUAAAAUAUAUAAAAAGCUUACAACGGAUUCGUUUUUCGUCGUAACAAUUUAAGACGGAACUCUACUAAUCCAUAGUAACUUUAUACGCGUGGUCCCUCAUAAGUUAUCUGUUACUAUAACUUAUAAAUGACUUUAUUUGUUGUAGCGCUUGUCGUAUACCCCGGCCUGGUAUAAUUGGCCCCAUCUCCUUCAUUCUAUGCACCACCGUAUAUUUGACUGAACAGACACAUUGCAUCACCAGAUGCCCCACCAUUCAUGAAAUCCCAGUUUUAGUAGAAUAGCACUCAAAUAAGUGAAUAACUCCACUCAAUCUUGUCAUAGCCUUAGCCAUGUCCAACUUAAACGCCAUAAACCCCUCCUUUCCUGUUCUCUUUAGUUUGUGAUAGUGCAUGACUUCAUAACUUAUAAUUAGAAUAUCUAUCUAGGGUUAAAUUUGUAGUGAUAAAUUAAAAUUAAUUUUUUAAUUAAACCGAUCGAUCACAAAAUUAUAAUGUCUUUUCAUUAUAUUUUAUUUUAUAUCAAUUUUUCAGUAUUUGAAUAUCAAAUUCUUAAAAUCAAAAUUAUUUUAAUUUGUAUAUAUCGAUAUAUACAGAAAUCAAUGAUUACUGGGUUAGUCAUUGAUAUUAUAAGAUUAAAAAAAAAUAUCGUAUACUAUUGGGUUUAUUUCCAUCGCCAUUUUUAGGGCAAAGCGAUUGGAGUGUAGGAAGGAACGAGGGAUCGAUGGUAGGAUCAGCACCCCCGGAGUUUGUGAAGUUGUAUAAUCUGUAGCUCACGAAUUGGCAAGCCACUGUUCCAAUAGUGUGUCCUCCUGCAACACAUUUUUGUACUAUAUGGUUUAGAAUGUUGCAUGCAUGCAGAUAGAAAAAUUUCGGAUGUCUAUAAACGUAUGUAAUAUUGGCUUAUUGCUUACCAACAAGAGUUACAAGAUCUUGAGCGCUAAGACCAACAUCUGCAAAUUUUUUCUUCUGGACCGCGACUGAGUCUGUGAAACUCGGCAAAUUGGCGGUGUCGGACGCCAAUGACACUCGUCCAUCUCUCCGGCCAGUAGGCACGCGAUAAGUCAGUGCACCGACCUGCAUGUGAAACAUGGGAACAAUGAGAACUGAUAUAACAAUGAUCCUAUUAUGCUGCAGAAAUAUUUGAAUUAUUUUCUUAAAACCGCGAAUAUAGCACAUUCGAAACAUUUAUCGUACUUCGACUGUGGCAUCACGAGCAGCCAGAGCAAGAAUAUCAGCACAAGACACGACUCCGGGGCAUGCUGCCUCUAGCUGUGUUUUGGCAUCCUGAAUGACUUCAUAUCCUCUUAACAAAAGAUUUGGCCUAGCUGUUUUCUCAGCAUUGCUGCCAUCGAUAAGAAUCGAUGCAUCGCAGCCAUGAACGAAGCAAUCGUGGAAGACCAUUCUGAGCAAUCCUGGGGCAACAGUGGAAUCGGAGUUAACAUGUUUUUUAACGGUGGCUUGAACGAUGGAUUCCGCUCUGGGACAAGAGGUGGAAUAGAAGCCGACCCUAGUCUGAGCUAGAGCUAAGGGUGUGGCGAGUAGAAGAACAAAUAGAAUAGAGAGUUUGCUAAGGAAAGAAUCCAUUUGAGUUUGUAAUGUGUUGUUGUUAUAUAUAAGUUGAUUGUGAGUUUAAAGGAAACGAAGGUAAAAUAAUAGUACUUUUGAUGAUGUGGCAUGACAUGGACCGGCACUCUCGUUAGCACCCCCAUUGGAGAUGUUGGAGUGCUAUUGGGGUGCCAAGUGAGUUGGCUUUGGGGUGCCAAAAGUUAGCAACCCAUAAAGUAGGGUGCCAACUUCUUUUGUAGUCCCAAUAAUACAUAAAAUAUAGAUUUGUGGUCCCCAAUAAUACAUAGAAUAUUAUCUCUAUUAAUAAAGUUGGCAUUUUGGAGUGCCAACCAUUGUAGUGUAUUUUGAAAUAAGGGUGCUAGAAAUGAUUUGGAAGAAUGAGAAUAUAAAAAAUAAUAUUUUGAGUUAUGUGUCAAAAUUGACACCCAUCGAAGGGUGCCAACCAUCGGAGAUGCUCUAAUUAAGACACCAUAUGGUUGGGCUUUUAACACACUUGUCCGGCUUGCUGCCUUCACCCAACAAACUGACCUAUUUAUCACGCAUCACAAUUCGAAUGCAAUCUAGACAUCAUAUUUUUCUUAUUUGCUUCCUGCCAAUCCAUAAUCUGUUUAGAGCUCAUCUCGAACAUGUACUCGAGUCAGUUUCAUUCUCUUGCAAGACUUUCCAGUUCCUUGCAAACCAAACUCCUGCUAAAACCUUAUCAAUGCCGAUCAAAUUAUUCGUUGACUCUGAUAUGCUGCGCCUGCACAUUCUACCUCCCGCAUAUCUAACUCAAUUUUCUGAAAUGUUUCAGAUUGCGCGAGUUAGUAGUACAUGACAAACGUACAGCAUUCGGUUUAAUCGUUUCUUUUCUGUGGGCUCCUUGUGUUUGUAAAAUGACAGCUUAUUUAAAAGCUAAAUAAAUUUCUCCAGAAAGUUCUAUUCAAACUCGCAAACCGCAGAGACAGCUAAUUAAAUCAUAACUAAAUGAUAACACUACAAGAAAACAGUCAAUAGACAUCGGUUUUUGAUGUGGCAUAUAAUAGUACUUUUGAUGAUGUGGCAUGACAUGGACCGGCACUCUCGUUAGCACCCCCAUUGGAGAUGUUGGAGUGCUAUUGGGGUGCCAAGUGAGUUGGCUUUGGGGUGCCAAAAGUUGGCAACCCAUAAAGUAGGGUGCCAACUUCUUUUGUAGUCCCAAUAAUACAUAAAAUAUAGAUUUGUGGUCCCAAUAAUACAUAGAAUAUUAUCUCUAUUAAUAAAGUUGGCAUUUUGGAGUGCCAACCAUUGUAGUGUAUUUUGAAAUAAGGGUGCUAGAAAUGAUUUGGAAGAAUGAGAAUAUAAAAAAUAAUAUUUUGAGUUAUGUGUCAAAAUUGACACCCAUCGAAGGGUGCCAACCAUCGGAGAUGCUCUAAUUAAGACACCAUAUGGUUGGGCUUUUAACACACUUGUCCGGCUUGCUGCCUUCACCCAACAAACUGACCUAUUUAUCACGCAUCACAAUUCGAAUGCAAUCUAGACAUCAUAUUUUUCUUAUUUGCUUCCUGCCAAUCCAUAAUCUGUUUAGAGCUCAUCUCGAACAUGUACUCGAGUCAGUUUCAUUCUCUUGCAAGACUUUCCAGUUCCUUGCAAACCAAACUCCUGCUAAAACCUUAUCAAUGCCGAUCAAAUUAUCCGUUGACUCUGAUAUGCUGCGCCUGCACAUUCUACCUCCCGCAUAUCUAACUCAAUUUUCUGAAAUGUUUCAGAUUGCGCGAGUUAGUAGUACAUGACAAACGUACAGCAUUCGGUUUAAUCGUUUCUUUUCUGUGGGCUCCUUGUGUUUGUAAAAUGACAGCUUAUUUAAAAGCUAAAUAAAUUUCUCCAGAAAGUUCUAUUCAAACUCGCAAACCGCAGAGACAGCUAAUUAAAUCAUAACUAAAUGAUAACACUACAAGAAAACAGUCAAUAGACAUCGGUUUUUAACCGAUGUCUAUGUUCUUUCCGGACCGAUGUCUUUGUCGGUGAUGUCUAUAUAUAGACAUCGGUCAAAAACCGAUGUCUGAAAUAAGAUAUGUGUGAGAGAAGACGUACCCACUUCGAUUCAAACUUACCAAGCUGAGUAGAGAGUAGAGAACACCGGAGAUAGGUGAUGAGUGGUGGUGAGCGGAGCGGCAGUGAUGAGUGAGCAGUAGUGUUGAGCGGAGCGGUGGUGAGCGGUGGUGAGCGGGCUGAGUGGGUGGUGAGCGGUGGUGAGUGGGUGGGCUGAGUGAGAGAGAUGGUCGAGAGAUCAGAGAGAUAGUCGAGAGAGAGAGGUCGAGUGAGAGAGAGAGUCGAGUGAGAGAGUUUGUAAGAAAUGUUGUAGUUAUUUUAGUUAUUAGUUUAGAUUUUUGAUUUUAAUUUUAUGUUAAAUAUGUCUGAAGAGAAGGAGAGAAGCCUAAAAUGUUCUAAGGCGGAGGAAUAUUUGGUUCUAACGCGGGGUUUUUUUGACUAAGGAGGGGAGAGAGGGAUGGCCGUGUGUUUUGAAUUUUUUUAAUGAUAUUUUAGACAUCGGUUUAAAUUUAAUUGAUGUCUUAAAAUGCUAAAGACAUCGCCUCUAGAAUGGGUGAUGUUAAAAACAUUUUUAACAUCGGCGGCAAAUCUGACCGAUGUCUGACCUAUGAUGUCUAUUAACAAGUUUCUUGUAGUGUAAAAACACAUAUUUCGCGCCAUUUUAUUAUUCCUUCCAAUUAUUUCACAUAAUUUAUGAUGUUUAAAUAUCUAAUUUUAAUUGUUAUGUCAAAAAAAAAUCUCAACAAAAAUAUAAACUAUACACUUUUGUUGAUUUACGAAAUGGAAAAUUUAAAUAUAUUUAAAUAUUUUAAAUUACAUGGAAAAAUUCGAAUAAGAUGUAAAGGGAGGGGAGCACUAUUUUGCGACUGAUAGAUGGAAUUGCAUGCUUAUAUUACAUAACCUUCCCUACUCAAGUUUCAAAUUGUUAUUGUUUAAAAAAAAGUAGGGUUUUGGAAACCCCCCCAAAUUCUACAUCCUUUUUAAUUAAUUGCUGAACAAAUUUUGCGAAUUUCACCGGCACUCCCCGUCUUCACUCCAACAUUCAUCAUUUUGAUCAUGGCCUUUCCAAACUCAACAUUCAGAGUCAGUCCAGCCAAUCCUCUAAUACCCAUAAAUCUCUGUGCAUCUCGUACAUUUUUGAAGAACGAACGAUCAAAAUUGUCGCCACUUCCAUAAUCUAACGGGAUUCGUUUGUUUCCAUCACCAUUUUGCGGGCAAAGAGAUUGGAGUGUAGGAAGGAAUUUGGAAUUGAUUGUUGGAUCCGCACCGCUAGUAUUUUUGAAGUUGUAUAGUCUGUAACUUACGAAUUGGCAUGCAACGGUUCCAAUAGUGUGUCCUCCUGCAAUGCAUGUGAAUAUACGUGUGAGAUUAAUUCAAUAUAAAUUAUGCAUGCAUGUCAUGAGAAUAUAAAAUUUAGUAUCUCUUACCAACAAGAGUGACAAGAUCUUGAGCGCUGAGACCUACGUCUGAGAAUUUCUUCCUCUGAACAGUGACUGAGUCCGUGAAACUCGGCAAAUUGGAGGUAUCAGAUGCUAAUUAAGUCACAAUACCCACAAUAUCAGACCUAAUUGAGUCACAAUACCCACAAUAUCAGACCUAAAUAAGUCACAAUACCAACAAAUUCACUACUAAUCCUACACAGACAUAUAAACAAAUAUACAAAAAAGCCCUAAUUUGCUCUAAAUUUUCAACAUGCAAACAGAAUCUACCUUCUAACAUACAUAUACAUAUAAAAAGAUUUGGGGGUUUUACCUCAAAUCGAAGCUCUAAUUCACUCCUCUAGACGUUUUCAAAGCAGACGAGAAAGAGAGAUGAACCGCAGAGGUGAGCGAGAGAGAUCAGCCACAGAGUUGAGCCAGCGAGAGAGAUGAGCCACAGAGUUGAGUGAGAGAGGUGAGUGAGAGCGAUGAGCGAGAGAGAGAUGCGCGCGAGAGAGUUAGUGGUGGAGAGAGAUAGUGUGAGAGAGAGUUGAGGAUACUGUAAUAGAAUUUUUGUGUAAUAAAAUUUAUGUGUAAUAAAAUUUUGGUACCAAAAUUUCAUAUCCCGCCAUUAAACUUGAAGCCCCCGCCUAUUUUUCAGCCAAAUUGUAAACUAUGUAUUGUAACGUUUUUAAAAGUAUUGCGUUUGGUCUAAAUUUUGUUUUUGACAAGUUCGUUCGUAACACUUUUCUAUUUUAUACAACACUUUGCAAAAUAUUACAAUAGAGUAGCAAAUUUUUUAUCUAUUGCAACAUUUUAUGCAACACAAAUGUAUGUGAAAAAGUAUAUGAGGGGCAAACUAAAACCAAUUGUGAAAUAUAAUUCCCGACAAAAAUAUAAGAAUAUAACAUCUUAUUCAAUAAUAAGAAUAUUAGAAGUUUGAUAAAAAAAAGAAUAUUAGAAGUUAUAAUGUCUAACCAAAGCAAUAACUUUGGUUAGACACACAAUACUAAAAAAAUCACAACACAUACUAAUCUUUUCUCACGAGAAACAAACAUACAUAAACAAAAAAAUUUAAACUUUUUGUUAGGAAAAGAAUAAAACCUUCUCUUUAAGAAAUUUAUUUUAUUAAAAUUUAAAUAAUAUAUAUAUCACAAUCAACAUUAAUUUAUUUUUAAUAAUCCAAUUAAUCAACAAAGAGUCAUCAUAGCAUCACAAAGUAUAAGAAUUAAUAGAUUCUAAUUAUUAAUCAAAGAACAAAAUUUUCCGCACAAAUUCGUCUGGGACAAUAAUCAUGCCAACCCAUAAUGGUCCAAAAUAUAUGCCACCAAUUAUGGCCAUCAAAAAAUGGUACAAUCUCCUUGAACAAUAUCAAGACGUAAAUAAGAGCCAUCAAUUAUGGCACACAAUAAUAUCUCAUUAAUAAUNGAAGUCCANCUUACCAAACACAUAUUUUAAAAACAUGAGUACGAUCAAUUAAACUCUAUAUAUUUAAAUAUAAAAACACAAUUACACAAAUAUUUAAUUCUUUCUGAUGUAUAACUGAAGAAUUUAUUUUCUUCCUAUCCAAAAUUCUUGCACACUAAAAUAUAUACAUGUAUAACAUAUAAAAUUAUACCAUAAUUAAAAUCAAUCGAUAUUCAAAUCAUAACAAAUCAAUAAUCUAUUCGUACAUGCAACUAAAAACAAUUUAAAAAACUAAAAUUUUAAAUAUAGAAGAUCAAACACACACUAAACACAUCUAUCAAUCGAGAACUACCAAGAACACAAAGAACACGUAUACAAAAAACACAUAUAAAAAAUUAAAACGAACCCCGAAUUCCAUCAAUACUAUGACCGGCCACAACAAAUCCGGCGAAGACAAAACAUGUUUGAAAAAUCUAGGCCACCAAACUCAACAAAAUUCACAACCUAAUCCGAACAAAUUCCAACGAAGUUACAAAUGAAUUCGAUCACCGAAAAAACCAACAAAACAAACCAAAAACACACGAGAAACAUCAAGAAAAGAUCAAGAAAAGACGUACCUUUUAAAGAGACGGAGAGAAUUUGAUUACAAAUAAAUUAAAAGAAUGAUGUUACCGAUUUUAAAAUAAAACCCAUAAAUCACCAUCUCGAAUUCUACCGAGAAAGAAGAUUGGAUUCUAAACGACACAACCGGGCAACAGACAAUGAAAAUUGGAAUUCAGAUUUCUUCCUUUCAGAGUCACUGCGAGGCAUAUUCGGAGGCCAUCAACGUUAGCCAAAGGGCCUCCCUUUGGUUAGAUAUAUUUUUUUAUUUUCCUUUUAUUUAUCUUCUUUGUUGAUAAAUUAUAUUGGAUUUAUCUUAUUUUGAGAAUCUAUACUGAAUUUAAUAUAAUUAAAUUUAUUAUUAUUAUUUUCUUGUUAUUAAUGGAUUGUAUUUAUUUCCGUGAUCUUAUAAGUUGGAGCGUUUUCUUUUCUUCUGGAGACAUUUUCACGCUUUUCGAUUAGAUAAUAAGCUUUUUGAAUGAAUGAAACUCUUGGGAGUAUCGGUGUAUUCAGUUACGGACAAGUGCUUUUGUGUCAAAGAAAAAAAAAAGAAAAAGAAAGCGCUCUGCUAGGUUAUUUUUGCGAAUGAAGGGAUGAGUUUCUUUAUUACAAGAUUGUCGAUUUGUCAUGCAAAACUUGUAGGGAAAACUUUACAACCUUGGGAAAAUCACUUGAAACCCCUCUCUCACUCAUUUUAAUAACUUAUUGAGUCUCUAUUUGCAACUUAUGUGAUUUAAUUAUACAAUACGUAGAAUAAAUAUUUAUUUUAUUUAUAAUACUUAAAUACACUGUUAAUAUAUUUAACAAAAUAAGUUAAAAUGUAAAGACGACGUAAAAAUCAAAAAUACCCGGGGAUCGUGCAUGGAACUAAUUUAAAGCUAGCUAAGAUCUUUUGAGGACAGCAAUUUUUAACAUCUUUAAUUAACCUUCAGUAUCGUGUCACAAUUCAUAAACCAAUUUUAAAUUAUUUUUCUAGAUCAAUGCAGUCAAUUAUGUAUCUUCCAGAAGUUGGUCAUAAGCUACUUCUCAUUUUGUUCUAUUGAGGCGAACCAUAUAUUGAGAUUGAUCAGAUUAAAGUGAAAGUCGAGUUAUAUACUAAUUUUAAAUUAUUUUUAUCUUGAAAUUGAUCGGAUUAAUACAUAAACUCCAUCCAUUAUGGUUCAGUCAUUAAUCAUUUAAGUAAAUUAAAAACGAAAAUAAAUAAGAUAACACCAUUAACGCAUUUUUACUAUGAGCAGCAAAAUACAGAUUAUUAUAGCACUUGGUAAUACAAAUGUAACAUGGAAUUUAUUCUCUGCCUGCAAGUCGCAGUAACCCUAGCUAACAGAUCAACUAUGAUACCAUGAUGCAGGCUAAUAAUUAACGCGGCAAGAGUCUCUAAUUUGGUGGUCUUCUUCGGCCACCAGAACCAGUCUCUCUCUGGCAAUUAAAAUAGAGGGCAGCUACCGGCGAACCCAGAUUGUAUUGUUCUGCAAAGUCUCGGGUGUUGAAGUUCUCGCGCCUUGGUGGAGCGGAGACUGUCUGUCGUCCCAGUUGUUUGAACAACACGAAAACGAAUCUGUGGAUUCCACUCGACGGUCUUGGACUCUUGUAGAACAUCAUCUCAUGGCCUAUUAAUCAAAUUAGCUCAUCAAUCUCGCUUCAUGUUGAAGAUAUUGGUAAUUUAAAUUUAACUAAAAUGCAUGGAAAAAUCACCCCAAGGCAUGAUUAUAACAAAUGCUAAGUUUACGGAUCAACUGAUAUCUUACGAGAAACAUGUCAAGCCUUUUUCUAAAGAUCAUAUAAUACCGUAUAUCUUAACUGCAAACGAGUACAUCCAAAUUUCACAAGUUUAUACAAUAAGGGAUGCCUAAGGAAUAGCUGGUUAGAAUAGUUUAGAGAACAGAGGAGGAAAAGAGGAGUUUAAAGUUCAGUGCUCACCAAAAUGUGCUCCAGUUGUAGCAGGAAUGUCAGUGACCAACCUAAAUCAGGGGCAUAGAGAAGAAUUCUACAUGUUAGGAAGAAUUUACAUAACCAAGCUGGAGUGAAGAGCAUUCUAGUUAACAAUACAAUAUGAUCCUAUGAUCCUACCGGGCAUAUUCAAUCAGAAAUUAGAUAAAUUUAUUAGUUACGUCGAAUACAAAUAACCUGUUGAAUACAAAUCACUGUUGGAGAUGUUAAAUAUUAUCCAUCACGUCGAAUAUGUAAAUUUUAUUAAAAAUCGAGUAAUAAGUGCGACGGCAAAUACAUCAUUUUAUCAUCCACAUUGAUCAUUCUUUCUUUAAAAGAAAAAACGCAUGAAUUUUGUUUUUGUAAUUGACCAUUAAUCGAUUCAAAAUUAUAAUAUUUAAAUCCUCGACUUCCCAUUAGAGAUGCAAGAACGAUAUCGCUAGAGCAAGUGAUUGUGUUGUAGCACGUAAGCUACAUAAAUCCAGUGACAUGGGUUUCAGUUUUUCAAAUUAGUAAUACUUUUUUCAUGUGUUGGAACUUGGAAGGACUUAUGUGGAGAUUGAGAUGUCAAGCAGAGCUUUUACUUUAAAUGCCCAUACCAUACUGUACUAUUAAUUCAUCACACUGUACGUUGAGAAUUUGAAAUGAUUUUUUUCUAUUUGUUAAGAAUUAGGAGUACUUAGGAAAAUUGUAAAGGAUUAAUCGUACUUACCAGUGUAAGUAUUCUCUCAAACUUGGAUCACUUGGACUGGGAGCAUCAGGAUCCACCAUAACCUGCAGUCAGAUUUAAUGAUACAACUUAGCAUGUUUGUAUAAUGAUAAUAAUAUGCAUAGCUUUAUGUGAUGUGUGUGUUUGAGGAUAUGAAGUUGUGUGUGUGAGGGAUGAGAAGAAGAUAUAAAGUAGUAUGCUGGGUAAGUGUGUGGGGGAGUGAGCUACACGAGAAGACCAAGUAGAAAAAUGCAUGAGAGAGAGAGGGGCAUACGAGAGAGAGAUAGAGAGAGAGGGCCAGAGAGGGAGAGAGGNNNNNNNNNNNNNNNNNNNNNNNNNNNNNNNNNNNNNNNNNNNNNNNNNNNNNNNNNNNNNNNNNNNNNNNNNNNNNNNNNNNNNNNNNNNNNNNNNNNNNNNNNNNNNNNNNNNNNNNNNNNNNNNNNNNNNNNNNNNNNNNNNNNNNNNNNNNNNNNNNNNNNNNNNNNNNNNNNNNNNNNNNNNNNNNNNNNNNNNNNNNNNNNNNNNNNNNNNNNNNNNNNNNNNNNNNNNNNNNNNNNNNNNNNNNNNNNNNNNNNNNNNNNNNNNNNNNNNNNNNNNNNNNNNNNNNNNNNNNNNNNNNNNNNNNNNNNNNNNNNNNNNNNNNNNNNNNNNNNNNNNNNNNNNNNNNNNNNNNNNNNNNNNNNNNNNNNNNNNNNNNNNNNNNNNNNNNNNNNNNNNNNNNNNNNNNNNNNNNNNNNNNNNNNNNNNNNNNNNNNNNNNNNNNNNNNNNNNNNNNNNNNNNNNNNNNNNNNNNNNNNNNNNNNNNNNNNNNNNNNNNNNNNNNNNNNNNNNNNNNNNNNNNNNNNNNNNNNNNNNNNNNNNNNNNNNNNNNNNNNNNNNNNNNNNNNNNNNNNNNNNNNNNNNNNNNNNNNNNNNNNNNNNNNNNNNNNNNNNNNNNNNNNNNNNNNNNNNNNNNNNNNNNNNNNNNNNNNNNNNNNNNNNNNNNNNNNNNNNNNNNNNNNNNNNNNNNNNNNNNNNNNNNNNNNNNNNNNNNNNNNNNNNNNNNNNNNNNNNNNNNNNNNNNNNNNNNNNNNNNNNNNNNNNNNNNNNNNNNNNNNNNNNNNNNNACUUAUAUACUGCUCUGAGUGCUACAUGGCAAUGGUCCCGGCCCACGUGGGACUUAUACCUAUGUAUAUCUCAAACUGAUAGUAUAUAUAUUUAUUAUUUGCACCCAUUUAGUGAUAUUUUUAAAAUAUAAUUUCAUUAUAUUUUUUUAAAAUUUUACAUCAAAUAUUAUUAUAAAAAGAAAAUUUUAGGAAAAUAUCAUGAAAUUAUAUUCUAAAAACAUGUCGGAAUAAAUUAUUACCAAAUAUUCCCUCUUAGCAAUUGUCGUGUCCCCCAUCCAUUUACACCAUGCAAUGAUAUAAAUAGCAGGACAGUUAUACUGUCAAAAUGAUAUUUUUAUAUAGAAAAAAUGUGUUUAAAUUUGUUAUCUUUAAACUUUACUUAUAGUUAUCAAGUAUUUGUUAUUUAAUGGCAAGUUAUUUAAUUAGUAAAGAUAAUAUUUUUUGUUAGAAUUCUUUCUUUUAAAAUGAGUUUAGAUUACUAAUAAUACAGGAAGCUACACACUAACAUUAAUGCUAAAAACACAUCAAAUAUGUGUACUACUGUAGGCUGUGUAGGGGUAUAUAUAUUUCGACACAAAAAUAUGUUCAAUUAAUUUAAAUGUUAAUGAAUUAUUAUUCAUUAUUUAACUAAAACUAAAUAAACUCUAAGAAAAAUUUAAUAUAUAUUUGUAAAACUAAACUCUAUUUUCUUUGAAAAUAAGAUAAGACCUGCAUGCAGUCUAUCAAAUAUUUCUAAACAAGUGGAUUAAUUAAUGUUAAUUAGUAUAUUAAUGUUAAUUAGUACAUGCACAGCAGGACGAAACUAUGUAGGGGCCAGAAGGGGCCAUGGCCCCCCCUAGGGUUUCCGUAAUACUAUAAUUUGUAUUACUCCCUCCGUCCCUUUUUAUCUGUCCAUUUUGGGAAAAAAAACACAUACCAAGGAAUAAUUGAUUGUAUAAACUUUUUCAUUAAAUACCUCUAAUUAAUAUCUUGAAAAUGGUGGAAUACCCCUACUUUAUGUCUUGAAAACAUGAAUUCAACCAAGUUUUAAAUAAGUCAAGCCUUGAAAAUUGAAAUUAUGGAGAUAUAUUUGAAAAACUAUCAUUAAAUUAGUUUUGAAAGUAUAAAUAGACAGAUAAAUAGGGACAAAUAUUUACUUCCAAAGUGGACGGAUAAAUAGGGACGGAGGGAGUAUAUAAUUUUGAAAAAAAUUAUAUUUUCUUUUUAUAUUUAUAUAAAUAUAAAAAUUUGGCCCCCAAAAAAAUAUUUGUUCACUCUUAAGAGAUAAUUAACAUUAUAAGAUGAAGUGUUAAUUUUUAGAUUUCUCUAAUUUAUGUAUUAGACCAAAUUUAUGAAUAAAAAUAAACAAAUAUAUAUAUACCGACCCAGUCCCGCCCGCUGCCUACUGAAUCCAGUCAUCGUCCAAAAAGCAGUAGCAAACUACUACCAGGUCGUCCUCCCGUCAGCUUUGUUUCCAUACAUAUUUAUGCAAUCAAAUUCACCAUCCUCCAACCCCUUUUCACAACCCUCCACCAUUCCAAUCCCCACUCUCUUCUCCUCCCAGCAAACCCCAAGCUCUUACCUCAUCAAGAAAUGCAUAGCUCUCCUCCUCUCUUGCGCUUCUUCAACCCCCAAGCUCCGCCAAGUCCACGCCUUCUCCAUCCGACAUGGCCUCCCUCUCACCAACCCAGAUAUGGGCAAGCACCUCAUCNNNNNNNNNNNNNNNNNNNNNNNNNNNNNNNNNNNNNNNNNNNNNNNNNNNNNNNNNNNNNNNNNNNNNNNNNNNNNNNNNNNNNNNNNNNNNNNNNNNNNNNNNNNNNNNNNNNNNNNNNUAUUAAUGCAUGUGCAGGGGGUCCAUUCCAAUCACAAGUUAACACAUGCUCAUUUUGUAAAUGUUUCUGUACUCAAUUUUGUGCAUGUAGCAUUUUCCAUAUUUGUCACGUAAGAGACCACAGUUGACAAGUACUUUUGCCAAGUGUUUAUAACGUGUGAAAUUCAACUUUCAACGUAAAGUUAUAUUUCCAAAGUCAAUUGUAAUUCACAUAUUUCUCAUUCCAAUCACAAGUUAACGCAUGCUCAUUUUGUAAAUGUUUCUGUACUCAAUUUUGUGCAUCUAGCAUUUUCCAUAUUUGUCACGUAAGAGACCACAGUUGACAAGUACUUUUGCCAAGAGUUUAUAACGUGUGAAAUUCAACUUUCAAUGUAAUGUUAUAUUUCCAAAUUCAAUUCUAAUUCACAUAUUUCUCAUUUAUAUCUUCUAGAUCAAAACCUCAUUUCACAUAAUAUGAUCAUUUAAUAUAAUUAAUUUAUAAACAUUCACUUUUCUUAAACUAUAUGAUUUUUUGAAAGUGGAUGUAAUUUGAAAGGGAGGGAGCAAUUAGCAACCCAAAUAUGAUCAAUUGAAUAUGAUAAAUUUGUGUUGAAAGUACAAAAGGACAUAUAAUUGGGACGAUUUUUUUUCUUAAAAAAGACAUAUAUAUAAAAUGAGACAGACAAAGUACUUUGUUUUAACUAAAUUAAAAAAAUAUCCUUAACCUCGAUGUUACGUCAUAUGUACAUAUCUCUUUGACACAUGAGACUAGUCUUAUAUCUAAAUUCUUGAUUUCAAUAAGUAUACUUAUAACCGUAUUUCUAAUAAUGUGCUCAUUGGGGCACCAAUAAACACAAAACUUUGAUAAAUUUCUUUUAUUUUAUUAACUUAUAUUAUUUAAUAAUUAUAAACUCCUACAUUUAUAACAACCACACCACUGAAAAUUAUUCAAUAUCACAUAUUUUAAUGAUGAUUAAUAAUGGUGGACCUCUGCAUUUAACCGACGCCAGAGAUUAUUUGCGUCGCUAGAUUAAUCGACGCUAUAGGCCUAUACUUAUACCGUCUCCCAGAUUUGUUACACCAUUUAACCGACGUCUUAGAGAUUAUUUGACCGAUGCUGAAAGUCCAAUGGUGUUAGCAUGUGUCCAUGAACACCGCAUAAAUCCUAUUUAUAAUGCAGAAAUCAGAUACGUGUCAAGUUAAGAACACUAUAUAAUACUUUUGUCACGGUGUAUAAAUUUCUUUAGUGGGACCCACGAGCCUGUUGAGUGGAAGAAGAAAGAAGGAAAAAGCAUAGAGAAUCUGAGUGGAUGAAAAUCUUUCCUUGCUUUACAACAUCAUUGGAUGGGCAAAAACUUACUACAUUUAGUAAGUAUUCGCUUUGGAGCUAUGCUAGUCAUACAAAUCUUUUUAUGAAGACCAGACACAAGUACACAACCUUAUCUUAUACUAUGUGGGACCCAUUUCUUAUAGCAUAAAUUAUCAUUUGAAAGAGAUGCUAGAAAUUGUUAUAACUUCUUUGUUCAAUACGAAUCGCCUCAACUGCCCUGUCUCUUGAGCAUCUACACGUCUACUUUGUAUAUGGGGUUGGAGAUCCAUGUUCAACUGAAGUCAAGGACUCAACUCAACUAGCAGCCUAUUUCUGGUGGACUGUUCUCCAAUAUCUUUAAAGAUUUAUUCACUCUACUUUUAUUCAAUAUAUAUAAUAAUAUAUUCUAUUCGUUCUUAUUGUCAGCCAUUUUUCAAUAUUUUCUUAGAAUUUGUUCUUAGAUUUUAUUUGGAAGAACUAAAAGAAAGAAGAUACAAAGGAAGUAUAGGUUAUUUAUACUAUAAUAAUAUUUUCUUUCCAUUUGUCUCUCUCAUUUCUUUAUAGUUUAUUUACAUGCACUUGUUUAAAUUGUUAUAAAAUUUAGUUUUAUAAUUUAUUUUUAAUUGCUAUUAAUAAAACUUUAAAUAUUAAAUUAUCAAUCACUAGAUUUACACGUUGCACCUGAUAAGUUUGAGCUUUUUUCGAUUUGGUCUUAAAUAAAAUUUCUUGUCAAUAUGCACUCUAAUGUUUAAAAAGCACUUUGAUAUGCACCUCCUUACCAUGUUUCGUCAAGUUGACUGUUAAAAUUAACGGCUGUAGAGGUAAAACACUAAUUUUGUAUAAGAGAAUCAGUAGAAGGAACUCUAUAAAAUUAUUAUUUUAACGGCUGUAGAGGUAAAACACUAAUUUUGUAUAAGAGAAUCAGUAGAAGGAACUCUAUAAAAUUAUUAUUUUACCCCUCCAGCCGUUAAUUUUAACAGUCAACUUGACAGAAAAUGGUUAAAAGGGGCGAAUACCGAAGCGCAUUUUAAACACUAGGGUUCGUAUUGACAUGAAAUUUUGUUUGAGACCAAAUCGAAAAGGCGCUUAAACUUAUGAGAUGAAAAAUGUAAAUUACUCUUUAUAAAAUUAUAUUUUAUAGGAGAAAUAAAAUGUGUCAAUGCCUCUGCCCCCAACAAGCAUUUUACAAAAGCAAAAAAUUAAUUUAUUUUAUAACAUUAUUGUGUUUUCCUUUUUUUAUUAAAAUGAUUCGUAACUUUGGAAUAAUAUUUAUAAAUUAAAUCACUUAUCAGAAAUAUAAAUUUAAAAUUUAGUAAUUAAAGUAUCUGGUUGCAAAUAGAUCGCUGGUUAAAUUAAACAUAACCUUAAACAAUUUCAAAUGCAAAAAAUCUANUAUGAUUCGUAACUUUGGAAUAAUAUUUAUAAAUUAAAUCACUUAUCAGAAAUAUAAAUUUAAAAUUUAGUAAUUAAAGUAUCUGGUUGCAAAUAGAUCGCUGGUUAAAUUAAACAUAACCUUAAACAAUUUCAAAUGCAAAAAAUCUAUACUAAACCAUAAUAAGGCAACAUGGCUAUAAUUUGUAAUCCAACCUUUUAGUUAUAAUUAUUGGUUUGGUACUAUCCCCUGCAAUUACAAGUCUGCCACACAUACUAUAACAAGCCAAUAUAAAAAUAAUUUGUAGUCCAACUUUUUAAUUAUAAUUUUUGGUUUGGUAUUAUCCUGCAUUCCUGCAACUAUAAGUUGCCACACGUAAAGGUCUAUUACUCUUAGAGUGUCAAAUACUAAAAACACUCAUGAUAAUGGAUUAUAAUAUAAUAUUUCAUAACAAAAUUAUAAUGAUGUUAAAAAUAAAAUUAUAAAUAUAUAAUUUUAAAGUCUAUUACGGGUAGAGGUCUAUUACUCUUACAUUGUUAAAAAGUUUCAGAUACUGAAAACAAUCAUGAUAAUAUAUUAUCAUAAAUAUAUAAUUUUAAAGUCUACCACACAUAGAGGUCUAUUACUCAUACAUUGUUAAACAGUUUCAAAUACUAAAAACACUCAUGAUAAUGUAUUAUCAUAUAAUAUUUCAUAAAAAUAUUAUAAUGAUGUUUAAAAUAUAAUUAUAAAUUUAUAAUUUUAAAUAUAAUCCAUUGGCCAAUAUAAUUUAAUUAAAAUUCAAUUCAUUAAUAUUAAAAUACUAAUAAAAUAAUGUUAAAAUUUUAAUUUUAAAUAAUCAAUUACGAACUAUAUUACCCCGUGCUUCGCACAGGUUAAAGACUAGUAUUUUUAAAAACCGAUAACAUAAAAUAAUUAAAAAAACAAUAUUUUUGAUUAUUUUUUUAAAAUGACCACAGCCAAGAGCAACCAGGCCCAUUUUAAAAACCCAAAACUGUGUCAUCUAAGCAAAUAAAAUCGUACAUAAUUUGUUAUGGACUCCAUGGUCAAACUUGGGAGCCCAAGUCGCUUUUAAUCCUGAAUCCAGUUGUUUGUCAAGCAUUCUAUCGUCAAUUUUUCAAAAUUUAAAUUUCUUUGUCGCAUGGAAAGACCGACAAACAAGUACAUAAUUCCUGAGAAUAAAUAUUCUAAACGAUAUAGUACAAAAAUGUGUUGCAGGAGGACACACUAUUGGAACGUCCAUUUUUGUUCCAAACCUAAUCUAUUGACUAAAUAAUCUACUCCGUUAUACCUUGCUCGACUUCAGUAACUCAGUCUUUCAGUCCCUUCAACCAGAUUCAAUUUCAAUAAUUUAUUUUAAUAGUAAUAAAACUCCUCUCUGAUAAAAUUUUAGAUCCGCCACUAAAGACAAAAAAGUCUUCCACAUGUUAAUCGUAGCUUAGAUGUGUAGAUAUAUUGUCAACCGUAAACUUCACCACGAUUAUACUUUUUGUCGAGUCACAGCUUAAAAAAGUUGAUGCCUAGUCAAAGCAAUAAACACAAGGUGCACUCACGAAUACUCUCUCCAUCCCAAUUUAAAUGAGCUUUUUACUCAUUUCACCCAUAUUAAAGAGUAUUAAAUGAUUGUUAUUUUUUCCGACUCUACCCAUAUUUAUUGGGUUGACUUUCUAUUGUAUUAGCUUCAUUGUACAUUAAAAUGAUAAAUAAGAAAAGAUAAGAGUGGAAUAUUGUUGAUAAAUUUGCAUUGAAAAGGGAGAGACUCAACAAUUUUAAUUAGGAUAUAUUUUUUUCUCAAAAGGAUCAUCUAGUUUGGGAUGUAGGGAGUAUACAGUAUACAACACUCCAAUCCGUCACCUACGCGGCAGCCCCGCCACUAUUCGAUCCCUCGCUUACCUUUAAAUAUUUAUAGUGAUCAGAAUAAAAUCGCUCGAUCAAUAUAAAAUAGUUAUCCCUGUCUCAUCACUUGUAUACGUAUAAAAUAUAAUAAUUUCAUAAUAUAUUUCUAAAAAUUUAAUAAAAAUUUGAUGUUUAAACUCAUUAAAAAUUAAAAAAAAACUUAUUAUAAAACUGUAAUUUAUUGGAGUCUCUAAAUGUGUGCAAAUAGUGAAAGUAUACAUCAAAAUAGAGGGACGAGUAUAAUAGUUUGCACUCACAUUCCGUAAAUAAAUCGAGCAUGUACAAAUUACUCGUUUUCAUCCUAUUUAAAUGAAAUAGGAUGAAAACGAGUAAUUUGAUGUUCACUCUAAAUGAAAUGAGGAUGAUAAUUAAAUAAAAAUUACAAAAAUACUGAGAAAAAGAAAAAUAUUUAAAAUAAAAGUAAUUUAGUUUGAAUGAAUUAACUUUUAUGUGAUCAUGUUGGAAUAAUAGUACAAGAAGUAAAAUUUUAAUUAUAAGUACAUGAUUAGAUCUCUAACUAAAGAUAAUCUGAACUAAAAUGAUAAAAGAAAUGGAAAUUAUAAAUAUGGCCCAGCAAGCAAAGUAUAAAUUGUAUUUCAUUAAGUGACCAUUCCUAAUAUAAAAAUAUAUAUAUAUUGUACAUGAAAAACAUCUGUUUCUUAGUUCUUGAAGACGCUUUAUACUCUUUAUAUAUAACUCAAACAAUACGUGUUUGUUUGUAAAUGAACUUUCUUUGCUGUUCGUGGAAGCUUUUACAACUGCAGGCUUAUUUUGCAUCCGCCUACUCAAGUUUUCAUAACUCUAGAACUGGAAUAUCAAAGUUCGACUCUAAUUAACUCUUGAACAGACCUUUCGAAUUUCCCCGGCCGUCCCAGUGUUCACCCCAAUAUUCGUCAUUUUAAUCAUAGAUUUUCCGAAUUCGACGUUCAAAGUCAAUCCAGCCAAGCCUCUGAUACCCAUAAAUCUCUGCGCAAAGUUCCUCGUUGUACUGUCCUGCCACAAGCUCUGAUCUGACUCCAGAAUUCCCCGUCCAUCUCGAACAUUUUUGAAGAAAGAACGAUCAAAAUUGUUACCGCUCCCGUAGUCCAAAGCGAUACGUUUAUUUCCAUCGCCAUUUUUAGGGCAAAGCGAUUGGAGUGUAGGAAGGAACGAGGGAUCGAUGGUAGGAUCAGCACCCCCGGAGUUUGUGAAGUUGUAUAAUCUGUAGCUCACGAAUUGGCAAGCCACUGUUCCAAUAGUGUGUCCUCCUGCAACACAUUUUUGUACUAUAUGGUUUAGAAUGUUGCAUGCAUGCAGAUAGAAAAAUUUCGGAUGUCUGAUAAACGUAUGUAAUAUUGGCUUAUUGCUUACCAACAAGGGUAACAAGAUCUUGAGCGCUUAGACCAACAUCUGCAAAUUUUUUCUUCUGGACCGCGACUGAGUCUGUGAAACUCGGCAAAUUGGCGGUGUCGGACGCCAAUGACACUCGUCCGUCUCUCCGGCCAGUAGGCACGCGAUAAGUCAG